GUUGGGGAUAACUCGCUGAAAGGCGAGCUAAUACCGAAUGUGAAAACCGGGAGGCAUCUUUUGGUUUUUAAAGUUGGGGACCGCAAGGCCUGACGCUUUACGAUAAGCCCGCGGCCUAUCAGCUAGUUGGUGAGGUAACGGCUCACCAAGGCGACAAUCCGUAGCUGGUCUGAGAGGACGACCAGCCACACCGGAACUGAGACACGGUCCGGACUCCUACGGGAGGCAGCAGUGGGGAAUAUUGGACAAUGGGGGAAACCCUGAUCCAGCGACGCCGCGUGUGUGAAGAAGGCCUGCGGGUUGUAAAGCACUUUUAGUGGGGACAAAAAGUCAUGGGUUAAUAACUCGUGAUCUUGAUUUAACUCACAGAAAAAGCACCGGCUAACUCUGUGCCAGCAGCCGCGGUAAUACAGAGGGUGCGAGCGUUAAUCGGAAUUACUGGGCGUAAAGCGCACGUAGACGGUUUGGUAAGUCAGAUGUGAAAUCCCCGGGCUCAACCUGGGAACUGCAUUUGAUACUGCCUGGCUAGAGUAUCGAAGAGGGAAGUGGAAUUUCCGGUGUAGCGGUGAAAUGCGUAGAUAUCGGAAGGAACACCAGUGGCGAAAGCGACUUCCUGGUCGAAUACUGACGUUCAUGUGCGAAAGCGUGGGGAGCAAACAGGAUUAGAUACCCUGGUAGUCCACGCCAUAAACGAUGACAACUAGAUGUUGGGAGGGUCUGCCUCUCGGUGUCGCAGCUAACGCGUUAAGUUGUCCGCCUGGGGAGUACGGCCGCAAGGUUG
RNAcentral lists this ribosomal RNA (781 nucleotides) under uncultured bacterium. RNAcentral describes it as "bacterial SSU rRNA". It matches the Rfam family "Bacterial small subunit ribosomal RNA", at positions 136 to 896 of the family's 1533-position model. The record is from RNAcentral.